AUUGAACGCUGGCGGCAUGCCUUACACAUGCAAGUCGAACGGCAGCGGGGGAGAAGCUUGCUUUUCCUGCCGGCGAGUGGCGAACGGGUGAGUAAUACACCGGAACGUGCCCUGUAGUGGGGGAUAACUAGUCGAAAGAUUAGCUAAUACCGCAUACGACCUGAGGGUGAAAGUGGGGGACCGCAAGGCCUCAUGCUAUAGGAGCGGCCGAUGUCUGAUUAGCUAGUUGGUGGGUAAAGGCCUACCAAGGCGACGAUCAGUAGCUGGUCUGAGAGGACGAUCAGCCACACUGGGACUGAGACACGGCCCAGACUCCUACGGGAGGCAGCAGUGGGGAAUUUUGGACAAUGGGCGAAAGCCUGAUCCAGCAAUGCCGCGUGUGUGAAGAAGGCCUUCGGGUUGUAAAGCACUUUUGUCCGGAAAGAAAUGGCUCUGGUUAAUACCUGGGGUCGAUGACGGUACCGGAAGAAUAAGGACCGGCUAACUACGUGCCAGCCGCCGCCGUAA
Molecule: ribosomal RNA, 507 nt
Filed under: uncultured bacterium
Lineage: Bacteria
Description: partial 16S ribosomal RNA
Rfam family: Bacterial small subunit ribosomal RNA
Source: RNAcentral